AGUCAGAGCCAGAGUGACUGUCCCAGAUGGAGGCAUGUGGCCCAGUCUGGGCUAAAGAGAGUGAAGACCUGGGAUUUUACAUGGAGGCGGGAGAGAGAAGCGGCUGGUGAGCUGGUGUGAGGAGCGCCUGGAGCUGUGGGGGGCCCUGCCGCGCCCUGUCACCCUCCACCUGGAAGAAGCUUGCCUGCAGACAAGACAGUGAAGUCAACCAGAGGGAAAACUGAGCUCGGGUGGUACGUGAGAUAGGCAGAUGUGGGACAGCGGUCCCCAGGCAGCCUCCGCGCCUGGACUUCCCUUGGCGACAGCUAAGCAGUUCCCUUUCUUCCUGAUAUCAGUUGGAGUUGGAUUCUGACACUCGUGCCUGAGCGGAUCGUGACCGAUACAGGUUUGAACUCUGGGGUAAAAUCAUCUCCAGAAUCCUCCAGCAGACUUCCCUCUUCAUCUCACUGGCCAAAAUCAAGUCACAUGACCAUCCCUGAUCCAUCUCUUGCACAGGGGAACAGGAUCGCUAUGAUUGGCUGUGACCAGUCAUGAGUCAUCUCUUUGCUCAGAGAGCAGCACAAUUGACCGGAUACUCACCCUCUUUGAGUUUCUGGGGGUGGUGAGGCCCAUCUCCAGUCUUGGGAGCAGUCUGUGUGGAGGGCCUUCUCUGGGCCAGGCCUUGUGCAGAUGAAGGAAAACAGUCCCCACCUUCAAAUGCACGCAGGAGGCAGGAAGGAGCCACUACACGGUCUGCAGACAGGGUCUCUACAGAGGCGAUCAACUUAAAUGAGGUCAUGAAGGGUGGUUCCUAAACCAGUGUGACUGGCAUCCUUCUACAAAGGGAAAAGUUGGACACAGACACCUGUGCACGGGGAGAACCGCCGUCUGCAGUCGAAGGUAGAGAUCCGGGAUGCCUUUAGAGCCCUGGAAUGCCCGAGAUGGCCAGUGCUCACCAGAAGAGGAGAGGGGCCUGGAAUAAUCCUUCUCCACAGCCCUCGGAAGGAGCCACCUGCAGACAUCUGAUCUCAGACUUGUGGCUUCCAG
RNAcentral lists this long non-coding RNA (1026 nucleotides) under Equus asinus (donkey). Its description in RNAcentral is "lncRNA (ENSEASG00005031842.1)". Lineage: Eukaryota; Metazoa; Chordata; Mammalia; Perissodactyla; Equidae. The record is from RNAcentral.